GUCCCGCUAAUACAAGCAAUAUAUACGUAAGCAAUCAUUGUUAAGAAAUCUUUAAAUAACUGACGUCUACUUUCAUGUAUCAUUUUUAGAGCCUUCUAAGGCAUACUCCAUUGUGAAAAUGUACGGAAUAAAAGGCGACUUCAUUUGCUGAUGUUUUGCAGAGCCACAACCUCACAUCGGUGGGGGGGUGUAAUGUCAGCAACUUUGCCAAGAAACAGCUCAUCUCCACGGAAUGUGGCCCAAGAAGAGCCCAGUUAGAUAUGUCGAAUAGUCAUACUUCCCUUCCUCCAUGGGUGUGUCCUGCUUCCUUACAAGGUGAAUUCAUCAUUCAAAGUCAUCCCCACCUGGCAGUUCCUCCAUCCAUCCGUCCAUCCAUCCAUCUACCGAUGUCUGGAUGACACAUCAAAGCACGUGAUCAUCAUGAGAUGAGCUUUGCAGAAGUUCACUCUGGUCUCCAGUUUGUCCGUUACUGUUUCCAGAGCUUCCAGAUACUCCAGAGAGUCCACAUCGUAGACCUGCUGCAGCUCAACUGGACCACCAGAGAAGAAAGGAAGAGCACCUCUUUCUUCAACCACUGGUACUUUGCUCGGACUUCGCUGAUACGCUGCUGACGGUUCUCCAACAGGCGGAGUUUACCGACGUACACCAUCUCCUAAUACACACAGACAUACAAAGCGUUCAACAUCGUCAAUCUCGUACACCUUGAUCUCAAAGGUCUCCGUUGUGGCCGCUGUACCUCGGAGGUUUGUGGAAGCAGGUGGCCCCAGAGGGCCAUCUACCCAGCAUGCACCUGGGCUCGAGGAGGAGGAAGACGAGGACGUCAUGGCCUGUUUGGUGGUGCGAUGAGGAGACGUGGAGGAAGAGGAUGAGGAGUCCAAGGUGCGAGGCCUUAGUCCUGUGCAGAGGAUGAGAGGCGAUGCUUCCUGUGACAUUCCUGUCCCCGGUAAUGAGGGCCGUAGUACUGGAACUCUGAGCCAGACUGUGGAUCAUAGUAUGGGCCAGCUCAGCCUCCUCCACCACCUCCUUGAUGUUCUGCAGCUGCUGGUCAUUGGUCUUCCUCCUUGAUGUGGUGGCUGAGGGGGAAGACUGCUGGAGUGCACUUCCAGGAUUAGGUGGAGACCCUAUGGGAAGUACAGCUUGUUAAAAUGGAAACAACUUUGAGUUGACCCUGAUAUACAAAACAUAUAUGAAUUUGGUUAAGUGAGUGUUAGGGGUAUCUGAGAUAGGAAUCUACCUGUUUUGGCUUCUGUAUCAAAUGGAGCAGCAGCGUUAGGCUCAGCAGGAGCAGCCGAGCCCGGAGAAGGGAAGCAUGGCUCUUUGGAUCCUUGUUUGCUGGCUGGAACUUCCUCAAAGGGAAACUUGGUCACCUUAACAGAAUGGAUGACAAAGAAUAUUUAACAGUUGAUGAGGAAACAAUGCAACAUACUUAUGAACACACUGAUUAAUUAAUCUGGCAUAACCAAGCAUUCUAACCUUGCAGGAACAGUUUGGGGAAGGACCCUUUCUGUUCAAUGUAAAGUCAAACUAAUGUGUGUGUGUGGUGUUUAAAGCAAACCAAUGCCUUUGAAAUUCACUAAAACACAUUUAGUGAUCUCACAAGGUUGUCUUUAGAAAAUAUUUAAAAAAGAGUGGAAGCAGUUCUAGUUUCUUCCCAGGAGUCUUAAUACUUGGGUGAAUACGCCAGUGCUCUGUACCUCUUCACUGCCAUCUAUGCAGUCCAGUCUCUCCUGCAGCUCAGCAAAGGUGUUGCACUUCAGGCACUCGGCCCCCUCCUCAGGCACAGGGGCUAAUGGCUGCCCGAGUAGCGAUUGAGCAGGCUGGAUCUGAGAUGGACCUUCAUGCUGCUCUUGGCUCUCUGGCUCGGGCUGCACCUGCCGGAGCAGAAUUAUUUGUUGUUUAUUCAUUCUUUUUCUGCCGCUUUUCCUCACGAAGGUCGCGGGGGGUGCUGGAGCCUAUCCCAGCUGUCUUCGGAUGUGAGGCGGGGUACACCCUGGACUGGUCACCAGACAAUCACAGGGCACAUAUAGACAAACAACCAUUCACACUCACAUUCAUACCGAUGGACAAUUUGGAGUCACCAAUUAACCUAGCAUGUUUUUGGAAUGUGGGAGGAAACCGGAGUACCCGGAGAAAACCCACCCAUGCACAGGGAGAACAUGCAAACUCCACACAGAGAUGGCCGAGGGUGGAAUUGAACCCUGGUCUCCUAGCUACGUGCUAACCACUCGACCGCCGUGCCGCCUGAUGUCUUUUAUGUGGUCAUCUAUAUCUUUGGAGAUCACCUGAUUCUGAUACUGUACCUCUGAUGUUUUAGAUCGCAGCAAGGCAGGAACGAUGGGCACAAACUCCGGCGGACCCUCGUUGUCUGUCAGCUCCCUAUCUGAUACAGCGGCACCGUUGGGACCCACGUAGAUGACCGUGUCACAUGACUGCUCGCUGCUGGAGUACUCGUCCGGGUCGCUGGACAGGCGCAGCAGCGGGACAUCCGAACCGGGGUCACCGCGAUGGUGAAAAGCUCGCAGAUGGGUGGGGCGGCGCAUGCGACCUUCUUCACAGGAGCUCUCUCCUCCAGAGGAGCUGGAGGUGUACUGCUGGGGACGAAUGACGUGCCACAUGCUGUCCACUGUGGGAUAAAGGACGCGAGAUGCGAGCUGAAUGGUGGAGAGACUUUCCGAGAAGUCUCCAGGAGAGGCCGAGAUGUGAGCGAUCAUGGUGGUGCGGCAGUUGAUGUUGCCUAGCGACUCCCUUAGCAACAUGGUCAGCUUGCUAUCCCUUGAGAGCACAAAGACGAGACAAAUCAGAUGUGACGGCCAGGAUGACGUUGCCAAGGGCUGACAGAGAAAGACACAAAGGCGCGGAGCCGGGUGAAGAGUUUUCUCUGCCUUUGCCACUCGUUCCGCCUGUGAGUACGCCGACGUCACAGCUGCCAAGGUCCAGCAGAUGGAGCCGACUGCGACCUCCUGACACUGACAAGGUAGGAACGAUGAGGAAGGACAAAGUAAAACAGUCUGCAUGAGACUGAGGGGCUGUCCACACGGAAUCAUUUUCAGUAUUUUAUCAUUUCAGCCUCUCAUCCACAUUCUGGCGUUCUGUGGGGCCUGAAACAGGAUGUGGGAAAAUCUGAAAACGGCAGCUUUGACAAGCCAAUAUUUGAAUAUUUCGAGUACAGUACCUCAACCAUAAUUACAUCAUAAUGAACACCUAUCUGAUUAGAAUUUUUGACAACUGUCUUAGGGUACAGUUAGAUUGGGUUGUUGUAGUAAUGCUAUAAGGACAGUAUAUCCCUCAAAAGAAGUACCUUUAUCCUUAUCCUCACCAAAAUUGAAUUGGUUCUUUCAUCGUUUUGUCUGCUAAAUGUAUUUGCCCUACUUUUUAUAAUGUGAACACUAUCAUUAAAAUAACAGGCCUCGUGCUGGUACAGACCUUUUCAUAGUACGACUGUAGUAUACUGUAUGUUGUGGUUGAACGACAUGGUCUAUUUAUACAUUUUAUAACAUAAGAAGCACUCACUUCCACCCUUGCCUGCCUUCUCCAUGCGGUACUGGUAAAUGUGUAAUGUAAACAGCAUGUGGGAGUUCCUGUGGUCUUCUUCUGUGGCGUUGCUGGGACGUUGGCUGCUGUUGCGAGCCGCGAUCGCCGCAUCCAGGAACCAGGCUGCUUUCUCCGGUGUGGGAGCACGGAGUUCCGACUGGUUUUGGAGCUGCAGGAAAGACGGAUGAUUAGCCAGAAGGACAAAGCCACAAGAGGAAGAGAUGGGGUCCUCACACAGGUAGACUCCAGGUGACUGUCCAUCCUGCAGGCUUCCUGUGGCCACCUCUGACAACUUGCAGCAAUCUUAGCAGCAUUUACCUCAACUGCAGACACACGAACAGAGAAGCGCGCCCCUGUCUUCUCCCUCCUCUCAUUGAUGAGCUUAAAGAGCCAGGAGAUGGCACAGGGGAUUAUACCCAGUGUCUGAAGGGAGUCAUGGCGGCCGAUCAUGGUGUAGGAUUUGCCUGGUUUACACACACACACACACACACACAGACAGACAGGAAGGAAACGUCUUCAAAAACAACAGAAAAAAACCUGCAGGCGAAGUGUACAGAUUCUCCCUUGGGCCACAAAGUCACCACACACACAGAGAGAGCUAUUCACACACCUGCUGUGGCUGUCAAGAAGCUUGGGGUGUCCAAAGCAGAAGACACAUCCAUCUGCUCCAUUCACCACCGACUGAAUCACCUCAGCAACCGUCCCUGCACACACUUCCGCCUAGCAACAGGUACUACAACUAGCUAAGAAGUUAGACAGUUGUUGACGUUGUCUACCUGCGAUGCAUCAGGAGGGAAGGCGGCAUCGAAGGUAAACAUCUUCGGAGGCACCUGACUGGUCCCUGCUUUUUUCUGGGGGGUGGUGCCAGGCAUCUGAUUGGCCGACGGGUCCAUGAUGAUUAUUUGUUUCUUCCUGGGGUCCACUUUGAGGAAAGAACUGGACGCCGUAGCGUCCGACUGAGACACCGGACACACACGAACCAUCACUUUCACCUGAGGGAGACAAAGAGAAACCAUUUGAUUAUUCUCGGAGGGUCCUUGGCCUACUUCCACAGUGCACCGGAUCGAUAAGCGAGGCCAAGCGCCACCUCCACUUUCAGGCAGACACACUUUGUUGAUGAGAAUGCAGCAAGCUAAUGGACUCUUUGUUGUGGUUGGUGAAAAGAAGAAGAAACAUGGAACAAGGAGGGCUGACCACAACAGCAACUAAGGAUGCACUUCGCCAACAGCAAUCUGAUAUUCAAGCACAUGUUCAACGGUGACCAAGUACAUCUUACCUGGCAAAGAAAGAGGCAGCAGUGGAGCUGGUGGUCUGUGCCGUGGUGGUGGUGGUGGUGGUGGUCGCCAGACUGUGUGAAGGCUUUGACCACCAACAGUCACGAUGACCAUAAAUGAUCCCAAACAGUGUGUGAGGCCUCUCUAAUAAGCUAUAAGCCUUGACUUCACGCUGCUGAUAAGCAGGGAGGAGGAACGGUGUGAGGAUGGAUGUGAAGUUGGAGUGCACAGAUGCAAGAUAAACAUACAAAGACAUUGCAUCAGGUUGUGUGAAAAUGUGGACAUAAGGGGGCCAGGAGACUGACUGCUGAAUGAUGGAGAGGCAGUUGCCAUGGUAGCAGUGGACUUCAAGGCAUCAGGGGAACUUCCGCUGCCUGAGGCCGGGGAGCCCGUCCCAAAACCUGGAGAGCCGCCGAGAGACCCGGGAGAACCCGUGCCAAUCCCUGGUGAAAUGUUCCCCGGUGAUCCAGAGAGGGAGCCUGGUGAUGAGAUCCCUGAGCCAGGGGAUGGGGUGCCCGUGGAGCUGGGCAUGGAGCCAGCACCCUCUGGGGCGGGACGAGAGUUGGACCGGGUGGUUUCCUCAUAUGUCUUACGGUACCAAGUGUCCGGGAAAAAGGAGGCGGAUUUAGUGGGGGAUGUGUCGGGCAUCUGUGGGACAUUUAAAAGAGAAGACUUUAACAUAAAGUGG
Non-coding RNA from Doryrhamphus excisus (bluestripe pipefish), 5493 nucleotides. The record is from RefSeq and is a predicted model, not a curated record. NCBI's taxonomy places the organism in Eukaryota, Metazoa, Chordata, Actinopteri, Syngnathiformes, Syngnathidae.